UCCGAGUUGACCCCGGUAGUCUCUUAUGAGUCCCCGGCAUAACCCGCUGGCAACAUAAGACAAGGGUUGCGCUCGUUGCGGGACUUAACCCAACAUCUCACGACACGAGCUGACGACAACCAUGCACCACCUGUAAACCGGCCCCGAAGGGAAACCGCAUUUCUGCGGCGGUCCGGUCCAUGUCAAGCCUUGGUAAGGUUCUUCGCGUUGCAUCGAAUUAAUCCGCAUGCUCCGCCGCUUGUGCGGGCCCCCGUCAAUUCCUUUGAGUUUUAGCCUUGCGGCCGUACUCCCCAGGCGGGGCACUUAAUGCGUUAGCUGCGGCGCGGAACCCGUGGAAUGGGCCCCACGCCUAGUGCCCAACGUUUACGGCAUGGACUAC
Molecule: unclassified non-coding RNA, 379 nt
Filed under: uncultured Micrococcaceae bacterium
Lineage: Bacteria; Bacillati; Actinomycetota; Actinomycetes; Micrococcales; Micrococcaceae
Description: contains 16S-23S intergenic spacer region
Source: RNAcentral